Long non-coding RNA from Clupea harengus (Atlantic herring), 1132 nucleotides. RefSeq lists it as uncharacterized. The transcript is spliced from 3 exons. NCBI's taxonomy places the organism in Eukaryota, Metazoa, Chordata, Actinopteri, Clupeiformes, Clupeidae. The record is from RefSeq and is a predicted model, not a curated record.
UGUGGGGUUGGUCAGUGUCUUCCGUUAGCGUUAGCACCAUUUAGCCAUGCUGCUGUGGGGUUGGUCAGUGUCUCCCGUUAGCGCCAUUUAGCCAUGAUGUCUGUGGGGUUGGUCAGUGUCUCCCGUUAGCGUUAGCAUUAGCGUAAUUUAGCCAUGAUGUCUGAGGGGUUGGUCAGUGUCUCCCGUUAGCGCCAUUUAGCCAUGAUGUCUGUGGGGUUGGUCAGUGUCUCCCGUUAGCGUUAGCAUCAUUUAGCCAUGCUGCUGUGGGGGUUGGUCAGUGUCUCCCGUUAGCGUUAGCGCCAUUUAGCCAUGAUGUCUGUGGGGUUGGUCAGUGUCUUCCGUUAGCGUUAGCAUCAUUUAGCCAUGAUGUCUGUGGGGUUGGUCAGUGUCUCCCAUUAGCGUUAGCAUAAUUUAGCCAUGAUGUCUGUGGGGUUGGUCAGUGUCUCCCAUUAGCGUUAGCAUUAGCGUAAUUUAGCCAUGCUGCUGUGGGGUUGGUAAGUGUCUCCUGUUAGCGCCAUUAAGCCAUGAUGUCUGAGGGGUUGAGCACCAUGUGGUGAUAAACCUGAGACACGCUGGGGUGGUGAUGGCCUCCAGAGCCACAGAGGGAGCAGCGGGUCGGAACACCGUGUGGAACUCCUCUCCCUUCCUGUUUGAGCUGCCGCGCGGAGACGUGACACAGCUACCGCUGAUCAUGGAGUUUAUUCUCAUAAAGGGUUGCCUGUAUUCAACCAGCAACGUGGUGGGCCGCAUUGUGAUUGGCCAAGAGGCUAAGGAGGAGGGGCAAGCCCACUGGAGAGACAUGUGCAACAGGAGCCAAGUGGAAGUUGCUCGAUGGCAUGUCGUCCAAUCAGAAACACUGUAGGAUGCUUUCUACCAGUCGUCCAAUCAGAAACACUGUAGGAUGCUUUCUACCAGUCAUCCAAUCAGAAGCACUGUGGGAUGCUUACCAUCAAUCAUCCAAUCAAAGACUCAGAAACUGACUGAACAAUAAGUGUGGUGGCAGCGCAAAGUGGAGUACCUGCUGAAGAGUGAGACUCUGCAUGAGACACUGACUGUCUGGGAAGACAAGGAACUGAUGAAAAUAGACAUUUUGCAUAAACAUUUGAAUAGUUUGUAGCCAUGUGUGUGUGUG